This 253-nucleotide ribosomal RNA is filed under the name uncultured bacterium. RNAcentral's name for it is "partial 16S ribosomal RNA". It matches the Rfam family "Bacterial small subunit ribosomal RNA", at positions 524 to 776 of the family's 1533-position model. The record is from RNAcentral.
GACAGAGGGUGCAAACGUUGUUCGGAAUUACUGGGCGUAAAGCGCGUGUAGGCUGCUCUGCAAGUCGGAUGUGAAAGCCCUGGGCUCAACCUAGGAAGUGCACUCGAAACUGCAGAGCUGGAGUCCUGGAGAGGAAGGCGGAAUUCUCGGUGUAGAGGUGAAAUUCGUAGAUAUCGAGAGGAACACCGGUGGCGAAGGCGGCCUUCUGGACAGUGACUGACGCUGAGACGCGAAAGCGUGGGGAGCAAACAGG